UUUAGAGGAAGUAAAAGUCGUAACAAGGUUUCCGUAGGUGAACCUGCGGAAGGAUCAUUAAUGAGAUCAUGCCCCUCGGGGUAGACCUCCCACCCUUUGUUUACAAUACCAUUGUUGCUUUGGCGGCCCCGUCGCAAGACAACCGGCUCCGGCUGGUCAGCGGCCGCCAGAGGACUCCAAAACUCAUAUUGUCAUUGUCGUCUGAGUACUAUACAAUAGUUAAAACUUUCAACAACGGAUCUCUUGGUUCUGGCAUCGAUGAAGAACGCAGCGAAAUGCGAUAAGUAAUGUGAAUUGCAGAAUUCAGUGAAUCAUCGAAUCUUUGAACGCACAUUGCGCCCCCUGGUAUUCCGGGGGGCAUGCCUGUUCGAGCGUCAUUACAACCCUCAAGCUCUGCUUGGUAUUGGGCGCCACCCCCGGGUGCGCCUUAAAAUCAGUGGCGGUGCCGUCUGGCUUCAAGCGUAGUAAUACUUCUCGCUUUGGAGUCCGGGCGAGCGUCCUGCCAAAACCCCCAU
This 515-nucleotide ribosomal RNA is filed under the name Phoma sp. E16. RNAcentral's name for it is "eukaryotic LSU rRNA". The stretch from base 224 to 377 matches the Rfam family "5.8S ribosomal RNA". The record is from RNAcentral. Lineage: Eukaryota; Fungi; Ascomycota; Dothideomycetes; Pleosporales; Didymellaceae.